UGUCUUUUUCCGCUUACUGUCG
Molecule: microRNA, 22 nt
Filed under: Bactrocera dorsalis (oriental fruit fly)
Lineage: Eukaryota; Metazoa; Arthropoda; Insecta; Diptera; Tephritidae
Description: bdo-miR-316
Gene: bdo-miR-316
Source: miRBase by way of RNAcentral